Molecule: long non-coding RNA, 1744 nt
Organism: Equus asinus (donkey)
Lineage: Eukaryota; Metazoa; Chordata; Mammalia; Perissodactyla; Equidae
Source: Ensembl
CCUCAUUAAAAUGCAGAUUCUGAUUCAUUCAGUAAAUCUAGGGUGGAGCUGGUCAUUCAGAAUUUCUAACAAACUUCUGAAUGAUAUUGAUGCUACUGGUCUGUGGACUAUACUUUGAGUGGCACUGCUCUAGAGGUAUUUCUAAAGUGGUCAAAUUUGACAUCAAAUACAGCCUCUGCUCACAGAAUGGUGCUGACUUCAUUAUUCUCACUUGACUGAUGAGGACUAUGUUACUUAGAGAAGUGCAGCUAUUUGCAUUCGGCAACCAAGAAUGAAUGUAGAUGCCAUUAACCAAGGGAUGCCUAAGAAAUGUGGAUACCCUUAUCCUACCCGAUCUAUAAUAUUUUAACCUGGAAAUUAGCUUUCCUAGUGCUGACACUGGCCUUGCUUACAACUUUGGCUGAAACCAAAUCAGUAGUGAUAUUGAUUAUAGCCUGUUAAACAAGUAUGGAACAUUAGAGAAAUGCAAAUUGCUCUUAACCUUCCUCUCUUCUUCCUGUUCCACCUCCUUCAUUUCCUUCCUCCUCUCACGUUAUUAUGUGCUGUUUGGAGAGUCUCCAAAUCUUCAUUUGGACCCGCAGGACAAUGGGAAAGAAUAUAUCAAGCAGAAAAUGGAAUCCUUUUUACAUUCUUGUAACAUUAACAUACAAAAAAUAUGCUUAAGAUUUCAGGUAAUACAGAUGCAACAAACAGGCUUUCACAUCGUCCCAGAAUGAUGACUGAAUACUGCAUUCUUGGUUCAGAGCAAAGCCAACAGGUGGUUCAGCUAUCUUUCUUCAUGCUUAAGAUAGAAACAAAUUCAGAAACCAGCUCUACUCCAACCAUCCUCCCUCCACACAGUCAACACAAGAAGACAGACUAUCCCCCCACCCACAUUUCUGUGGAGGACAUGCUGUCUUUUCCCAAGGCCAAGUGGAGGUCCCAAAAGAAUUUCUGUUUAAAAAAAACACAAAGUGGGGAAACCUAUAAAAAGGGUGACUGUCAUUUUUAUUCCAUUUUGAAUGUCUGCUUUACCAGAGAAUUGACGACAAUCAGAUGGGAGGAGUGAGCAUUUUACCAGUAAACCAUGUUGGAGUCACCAUCUGUCUACAACAGCUACCUGGAGUGCAUAUACAAUGAGGGAGAAUGGCAGUUACCACCAACUUCAGGCAGAACUGUGGCUGGCCCAGUCAGGAAGAUAUGUUUUGUUCUUUUCCUGCUACCUCAGCCUCACCCUGACAGGGAAGAGAGCAGCAGUGGGUAGAGGAAGGGGAGAGGAGAGAAGUGAAAGUCAGACCAUGCAACACACCCUUCCAUUACAGCAUGGCUUGAUGAGUGUUAUGUAGGUCUGCGCCCAGGAUCUGAACCUGUGAACCCUGGGCCACCAAAGUGGAGUGCACAAACUUAACCACUACCCCACCAGGCUUUGGGAAAGCCCUAGGAAUUGCCUGAUGAAGUCGCCUAGCGAUUGCCGGAGCCUGAUCAUGCAACAGGGGAAGACAUGCUCGUAAAGUGCCCAAGUUCUCCUACCAGAGGAAGUCCCGUCCUGCUGCAGCACUUCCUAGAACUGAGUGUGUAAGUCUGUCUAACUGUGGAAUUCAGUGUUGUGAAGCCUACUGACCCACAAAGAUAAACUGCAUUCUCCAAUACCUGCUUAACCAGUAAAAUAUUACUGUAUUUAGAUUCCUUCUGCCUUACUCUUUCCUUAUUCCCAAUUUAAACCUGAUUGGCUCAAAGCCCAGGUGGGAUUAGGGAUGUCAUUUAU